AGUCUGAUGGAGCAACGCCGCGUGAGUGAAGAAGGUUUCGGCUCGUAAAGCUCUGUUGGUAGUGAAGAAAGAUAGAGGUAGUAACUGGCCUUUAUUUGACGGUAAUUACUUAGAAAGUCACGGCUAACUACGUGCCAGCAGCCGCGGUAAUACGUAGGUGGCAAGCGUUGUCCGGAUUUAUUGGGCGUAAAGCGAGUGCAGGCGGUUCAAUAAGUCUGAUGUGAAAGCCUUCGGCUCAACCGGAGAAUUGCAUCAGAAACUGUUGAACUUGAGUGCAGAAGAGGAGAGUGGAACUCCAUGUGUAGCGGUGGAAUGCGUAGAUAUAUGGAAGAACACCAGUGGCGAAGGCGGCUCUCUGGUCUGCAACUGACGCUGAGGCUCGAAAGCAUGGGUAGCGAACAGGAUUAGAUACCCUGGUAGUCCAUGCCGUAAACGAUGAGUGCUAAGUGUUGGGAGGUUUCCGCCUCUCAGUGCUGCAGCUAACGCAUUAAGCACUCCGCCUGGGGAGUACGACCGCAAGGUUGAAACUCAAAGGAAUUGACGGGGGCCCGCACAAGCGGUGGAGCAUGUGGUUUAAUUCGAAGCAACGCGAAGAACCUUACCAGGUCU
RNAcentral lists this ribosomal RNA (609 nucleotides) under Lactobacillus gasseri. RNAcentral describes it as "bacterial SSU rRNA". It matches the Rfam family "Bacterial small subunit ribosomal RNA", at positions 380 to 981 of the family's 1533-position model. The record is from RNAcentral. Lineage: Bacteria; Bacillati; Bacillota; Bacilli; Lactobacillales; Lactobacillaceae.